GUGUCAGCAGCCGCGGUAAGACGAACCGUGCGAACGUUGUUCGGAAUCACUGGGCUUAAAGGGCGCGUAGGCGGGUCGGUCAGUCCGGGGUGAAAGCCCCCAGCUCAACUGGGGAAGCGCCUCGGAUACGGCCGGUCUUGAGGGAGGUAGGGGCGUGCGGAACUUCCGGUGGAGCGGUGAAAUGCGUAGAUAUCGGAAGGAACACCGAUGGCGAAAGCAGCGCGCUGGAUCUCUUCUGACGCUGAGGCGCGAAAGCCAGGGGAGCAAACGGGAUUAGAUACCCUAGUAGUCC
This 292-nucleotide ribosomal RNA is filed under the name uncultured bacterium. RNAcentral describes it as "partial 16S ribosomal RNA". It matches the Rfam family "Bacterial small subunit ribosomal RNA", at positions 505 to 796 of the family's 1533-position model. The record is from RNAcentral.